GAGUUGGGCGACUCUAGCGAGACUGCCGGUAAUAAACCGGAGGAAGGUGGGGAGUGACGUCAAAUCAUCAUGCCCCUUAUGACCUGGGCUACACACGUGCUACAAUGGUUGGUACAACGAGUUGCGAGUCGGUGACGGCGAGCUAAUCUCUUAAAGCCAAUCUCAGUUCGGAUUGUAGGCUGCAACUCGCCUACAUGAAGUCGGAAUCGCUAGUAAUCGCGGAUCAGCACGCCGCGGUGAAUACGUUCCCGGGCCUU
RNAcentral lists this ribosomal RNA (257 nucleotides) under uncultured Streptococcus sp. Its description in RNAcentral is "partial 16S ribosomal RNA". It matches the Rfam family "Bacterial small subunit ribosomal RNA", at positions 1127 to 1382 of the family's 1533-position model. Lineage: Bacteria; Bacillati; Bacillota; Bacilli; Lactobacillales; Streptococcaceae. The record is from RNAcentral.